Long non-coding RNA from Ruditapes philippinarum (Manila clam), 844 nucleotides. RefSeq lists it as uncharacterized. The transcript has 3 exons. The record is from RefSeq and is a predicted model, not a curated record. NCBI's taxonomy places the organism in Eukaryota, Metazoa, Mollusca, Bivalvia, Venerida, Veneridae.
GCUCUAUUUUCGUUUAAAUAAUAUCUUAUCUCCUCGAAUUAGUUUAAGAAGUGUUUAUAUAUUUUACAAUGAAGUUGUUAUCAUUUUUGAGGGCUUCAUUUUAUAGUGGUAAAUAAUUUAGUAAAUUCGAAUUUGCGACUUAUCGGAUUUGAAAUUCAAUUGUAUUAGCGGACAAAAAAACGACGGAUUGACAGACAAAGUUGUAUAUUCCAAACAAAAGAAAAAGAUUGUGAAAAUUAUGAUAAUUCAACAUGUGUCAAAAGUUCAGGAGGAAGAUGAAAAUAUUUAGAAGAAAAGAAAAAUGAAAACCUACCAAGAUUUUGUGACAGAAAGUGUGAUGAGAUCUCAGGUUGGAGACGGUAAUGAUACGCUUAAAGUAUGCCCCAGAUCGACAUAGUGUAGGAGGACGAAAGAAGCUAGAAUACUAAUGAAGAUACAUGAACAUUGCUAUUUAUAGUUAUAACAAAAUAUUCAGAAUAUUGUUCCAUUUAACAUUCAGAUCUAGAUUCAGUUAUAAAAUACAAAGACAAAUAUACAAUCAGUGAGUUUGAUAGAUGAUUGAAAAAAUCCCAAACUCAGAGUGAUCAGUUAAGUGGUGAUAUAAGAAAAAACACAUGCAUGGAUGUUUGCUAUAUAAAAUGUCAGUGUUAAUAUUCAAGAAGGAUUUUGUUUAUCUUAUUUCUAAAACAUGCUUAAUUAAUACAUGAAGCGUUAUUAAAGUACAUACCGUCAAGUUUAAUAGUUUCAAAAAAUAUUAUGUAAAUCUUGCAUUUGUUAUAGUACCACAUUUCUUGUUUUGUACUUGUGAUUCCGAGUAUAAAAUAAAUUGCUAAAAUCAUAAGAA